RNAcentral lists this small RNA (129 nucleotides) under Marmota monax (woodchuck). Lineage: Eukaryota; Metazoa; Chordata; Mammalia; Rodentia; Sciuridae. The record is from RNAcentral.
GUCGGGCGUGUGGUGGCACACACCUGUAAUCCCAGCUACCUGGGAGGCUGAGGCAGGAGGAUUGGAAAUUCAAAGCUAGAGUCUGCAACUUAGCGAGGCCCUAAGCAACUUAGCGAGACCCUGUCUCAA